RNAcentral lists this ribosomal RNA (253 nucleotides) under uncultured bacterium. Its description in RNAcentral is "partial 16S ribosomal RNA". It matches the Rfam family "Bacterial small subunit ribosomal RNA", at positions 524 to 776 of the family's 1533-position model. The record is from RNAcentral.
UACGUAGGGGGCAAGCGUUGUCCGGAUUUAUUGGGCGUAAAGAGCGUGUAGGCGGCUAGAUAGGUCCGUUGUGAAAACUCGAGGCUCAACCUCGAGACGUCGAUGGAAACCAUCUGGCCAGAGUCCGGAAGAGGAGAGUGGAAUUCCUGGUGUAGCGGUGAAAUGCGCAGAUAUCAGGAGGAACACCGAUGGCGAAGGCAGGUCUCUGGGCCACUACUGACGCUGAGAAGCGAAAGCAUGGGGAGCGAACAGG